UUUCCCUACGGGGGGCAGCAGUGAGGAAUAUUGGUCAAUGGGCGAGAGCCUGAACCAGCCAAGUCGCGUGAGGGAGUACUGCCCUAUGGGUCGUAAACCUCUUUUGUCGGGGAGCAAAAGCCGGACGUGUCCGUCUGUGAGAGUACCCGAAGAAAAAGCAUCGGCUAACUACGUGCCAGCAGCCGCGGUAAUACGUAGGUGGCAAGCGUUGUCCGGGUUUAUUGGGCGUAAAGCGAGUGCAGGCGGUUCCAUAAGUCUGAUGUGAAAG
This 268-nucleotide ribosomal RNA is filed under the name uncultured bacterium. RNAcentral describes it as "partial 16S ribosomal RNA". It matches the Rfam family "Bacterial small subunit ribosomal RNA", at positions 334 to 600 of the family's 1533-position model. The record is from RNAcentral.